This 481-nucleotide ribosomal RNA is filed under the name uncultured bacterium. RNAcentral's name for it is "bacterial SSU rRNA". It matches the Rfam family "Bacterial small subunit ribosomal RNA", at positions 28 to 507 of the family's 1533-position model. The record is from RNAcentral.
GGUGAACGCUGGCGGCGUGCCUAACACAUGCAAGUCGAGCGGUGCAGUUUGAAGCUUCGGUGGAAAGCUGCAUAGCGGCGGACGGGUGAGGAAAACGUAGGAACGUGCCCCUUGGAGUUGGAUAGCCACGGGAAACUGUGGGUAAACCGACAUAGACUCGAGAGAGUAAAGGCCGAAAGGCGCCAAGGGAGCGGCCUGCGGCCCAUCAGGUAGUUGGUAGUGUAAAGGACUACCAAGCCGACGACGGGUAGCCGGUCUGAGAGGAUGGCCGGCCACAAGGGCACUGAGAGACGGGCCCUACUCCUACGGGAGGCAGCAGUGGGGGAUUUUGGACAAUGGGCGAAAGCCUGAUCCAGCGACGCCGCGUGCAGGAUGAAGGCCUUCGGGUUGUAAACUGCUUUGUUACGGAACGAAAAGGACUCUGGUUAAUACCUGGGGCGUCAUGACGGUACCGUAAGAAUAAGCACCGGCUAACUACGUG